GAUGAACGCUGGCGGCGUGCCUAAUACAUGCAAGUCGAGCGAACAGACGAGGAGCUUGCUCCUCUGACGUUAGCGGCGGACGGGUGAGUAACACGUGGAUAACCUACCUAUAAGACUGGGAUAACUUCGGGAAACCGGAGCUAAUACCGGAUAAUAUAUUGAACCGCAUGGUUCAAUAGUGAAAGACGGUUUUGCUGUCACUUAUAGAUGGAUCCGCGCCGCAUUAGCUAGUUGGUAAGGUAACGGCUUACCAAGGCAACGAUGCGUAGCCGACCUGAGAGGGUGAUCGGCCACACUGGAACUGAGACACGGUCCAGACUCCUACGGGAGGCAGCAGUAGGGAAUCUUCCGCAAUGGGCGAGAGCCUGACGGAGCAACGCCGCGUGAGUGAUGAAGGUCUUCGGAUCGUAAAACUCUGUUAUUGGGGAAGAACAAAUGUGUAAGUAACUAUGCACGUCUUGACGGUACCUAAUCAGAAAGCCACGGCUAACUACGUG
This 497-nucleotide ribosomal RNA is filed under the name uncultured bacterium. Its description in RNAcentral is "partial 16S ribosomal RNA". It matches the Rfam family "Bacterial small subunit ribosomal RNA", at positions 28 to 507 of the family's 1533-position model. The record is from RNAcentral.